Long non-coding RNA from Solenopsis invicta (red fire ant), 4048 nucleotides. RefSeq lists it as uncharacterized. The record is from RefSeq and is a predicted model, not a curated record. The transcript has 2 exons. Lineage: Eukaryota; Metazoa; Arthropoda; Insecta; Hymenoptera; Formicidae.
AUCCGGGCGGGCCAUCUUAUGCAGGUCACCGAUAUGCCAUCCUGGUGCGGAACGGAAGAGCACAGCAUCUUUGAAGUUGCCGAAGAUUAGACUGGGAGUGAGGGAUUCGACGCCGCGUCUCUUCCAGUAACUCACCUUGUAACUGAAUGGUGACUGAUUCAAGCGGAUAUUCCGCCGGCUUUAUAAAUGAUAACGAUGGCUCGCCUACUCCAUUCUAUCUAGAUAAAUGGACAUCCACCGAAGAAAGAAUCAAUCAAUUGUGAAAAAGCAAAGUACUUGGAAAGGAAAUUCCCAAAGCUACAUGGGUAUGUAAUGUACAGUUAAUAAUUAUCUACAUAAUCAAUGAAAUCGACAAUGUUAGUUUAAUCUCGUUAAAUUGGACGUGAUUUAUUCUUCGAUAUGAUAUAAUGUGUGUGCAUUUCAUAUUAAAAAUAUUCCCACAUAAACAAAAAGAUGUUUUUUAGAUUUCUAAAAGAUGUCUGUCUAUAUCUUGAGAUUCCAGCAAACGAGAAAUAAUUGAAAAAUAUUUAGGAUUAUUAAAUGGAACGAAAUUAAAUCAAGUUUUUGGAUUGUUUGAAUCCGUUUUCUAUCCGUAAUCCAUUUGAAUCAUUAAUUACGGAUUGACUAUUUGCUUUCUGUAUCUUAUUCAAUGUACAUAAAAGUAAAACGUGCGACCUAUUCAUUUGAAUCCGUAAUUGUGGAUUAGUUAUUUGCUUUUGAUAUCAUAUUUAAUGUACAAUGAAAUAAACGUGCGACCAAUUUGUUUGAAUCUGUAAUUGUGGAUUGGCCAUUUGCUUUUGGUAUCAUAUUCAAUAUACAAUGCAAUGAAUUAUAUUUAACUACUCUAACAGCACAACCAUCCAUAUGUCGACUGUAAAUCGACUUUUCUAAGUCAGGCUUUCAGAGUUGACUGCAAGUCGACUUUGCAUAGACGUCUGCAGACAUCCUUUAAAUGUUGACUUUACAACGUCUAGAAAAAGGCAUGCCGUCCUGUAGUCUUGUGUGCAUCAUGUAUUGUUGAGAAACAUAAAUAUUCAUAUCAACUGCUCUAGUACUUUUAACAAAUAAAAUGUAAGUGAUAAUAUCUUUAUUUUUUAAAUAAAACCCAAGUGGUGGUACCUUUAAUUCUACAAAACCUAAAUGGUACUAAUCUUUGUAUCCUCAUUGAAAAAUUUUCCUAUUCUAACCCAUGUGGUACUUUUUUUAAUUUCUAUACAAAACCUAAAUAAAAAAUGUUAAAAUUACAAAAACUUGGCGCUGCUAGAUGUCGAAAUAGAAUCGAAAUGUAAUGUUGUAAAAACAGCCAAGAGAUUAAUUCCGUAUUAUAAGAAUUUGUAUUAUUAGAAAUUACAGAACUACUUAAGAUUUUAAUCUAUCGUGAUUACAGCUUGAAUAUAGUAAAUAUUUCAGAGACAUUAAAAAAAUCCAAUUUAUCACAGAAUUAUCUUUUCGCGGGGUGAGAUAAAGAACUUCUGAUUUCUUAUUUCUGUGUUACGCAAUUUCCUUCAAUGAAACAAAAGAAAGACUGAUGAUCUACGAAUUUUGCAAAUUUUUCAUAUGAGCAUUUAUGUUUUAGAACAAAUGAUUGGUCUUUUAAUCCAUCUAUCCAUUCCAUCUGAAACAGAGUAAUCAAUAAAUAAUUAUUAUUUUUGAAUAGAAAUGAAAAGUCUAUUGCAAAUCCAACUGUAAUUUUGUGUCACAUAUAUUUAUUCAAAUACAUAAAUUAGAAAAAUGUGAUGAGAUUUUUUGUUACAAAGUUAACAUUAUCUAGAUUAACAUUAUCUGUCAUUAACAUUAUUAUUAAUGUUUUUAAGAUUCUUACAAUUUAUGGAAACAAAUUAAUAAUACAUUAAUACUUUACUUUCGUAUAAAUAAGAUAAUUAUAUUUAAUGUUUUUUUGUUAAAAUAUUAAUACAAUAUUAGUGAAGUUUGAAAAAUGUUAUCAAGUUUUCAAAAACUUCAGAACUUUGAAGAGUUAACAAAUUUAAAAAAUAACGUUAUUGGACACUUUAUUGUUUGCUUACAAUACGGAAAAAUCGCUCCUUAUCAAGACUUGCACGCUAUUUAUAGAGUAAGAGCUUUUGCGUCUUUGGAUCAAGGCCAUAUUAGAAUGUCCAUUGUACCUGGAUUACUUCCUAAAACACAAGAUAUAAUUCUUAUAAUAAUGAGUAUUUUGCUCAAUCAAAAGAGAAAAAGAAAAAAAGUAGAAGAAAAUGGAGAACUAGUAUGGAAUUGUACAAACCUCCAAAGAAAGUUGUCUUGUACGUUAAGCUUGUCUUUAAAUUCUUGUAAGAGGUUUGUCACCCCAAUAAGAAUCUCUUCAAAUAGUCGACUAUUCUUGUCAAAUAAGCAAUUCGCAAAAUGUCCGUAAUCUUUAAAAUACAUAGCGCUAUUAUUAAAGGAUCGUUUCCAGAUAAGAAGAAAGAUUAAAUCUUAACGUCGUUGUAAGCAUCUUGGAAAAGUGAUUCAGCAGCUCUAAAUCGCAGCUUUUCGUUUAUCGUAGUAUAAAGAUGUUUCGGGAUAUUUCUCAUCCACGUAAAUGUAUUAAUCAGAUUUUUUUUAACUUUUUUAAAACUCAAAACAUAAUUUACUGUUAAUUAUUCAUUAAAGUAACGUUUUGAAUGCUAUAACAUCCAAAAUUUCAACAUAUUUGUUGAAAUUUAAUAAAUUUAUAUGUUUAUUAACGAAUUUUGGUAUUAAUAAUUUUGUACAAGAGAAAAAUAAACUUUUGUCAGCUUCGUCACUUUAAGAGAUUUAUUUUAGCACUUAUAAUACACAAAUUAUACAUACAUAUAUACAUAUAUAUCGUACAUACGUACAUACAGAGGGUGCCGCAGAAAACAAAAGUGUUAUCAAAAAAACCAAUACACUUCUCACAUAACGCAUUCAAAAUCAAUUCUACAAAUUUGUUUGACAUACGUAAGACGUUCUCUUAAUCGACACUAAGUAUACGCGGAGUGAGCGUUCAAUCCGUUCAAUCAGGAACGUCUGUCAUAGUUUCUCUCUUUCGUUUACGCAAGUAUAACAAAACGCGUUUUUUUUCUCUUUCUUAAUUAUGUUUAAGAUUUAAGACUUGAACGUCAGAGAGACAAUCAGACGUUUACAUUUAUAAAUGGUUCGUCUUAUGUAAACGGAAUAGAAACCCUGUAUUGUAACGCAUGUAACUUCGAAAUACUAGUAUAAACGCCGCGUUCUCGGAGUAACUUUACUAUAUUCUAUGGUCAACUAUAAAUACAGAGUCGCAUCUGAAGAUGCAAUCUCAUAAGUUUUCAAAAGACGUCUAAAUAAAGACACGAGAGAUCGCCUUUUCAGGCCUCUCUUAAAACGAAAAAUCACUCCAUGUUUCUCCAAUUUAGAAGAUUUAAAAAUGUUUUAAAAAGCAUUCAAACUUCAUAGACAUUUUUUAAAGAUGUCCAAUAACAUCUCACAAAUGUCUUAAAAAAAAACAUCUUUUAAUCAUUAUGCAGACGUUUUAAAAUUUGCGCGCAUGCAAUGUGUGAUCCGAAGAGCUCAGAAAAAAUAAUUUUUUUUCCUCUGUCAAUGGCUGUAUUCAGCAGAAAAAAGCAGCUUUGCAACUGUUGUAAAUCUUUAAUAUUAUUGGUUUAUACAUUUAGAUCAGACAAAAACUGAGAAAAAAGAUCAAUCGUAUUAAAGAAUCUUACAACAGUUGUAAAAUUGCCUUUUCUGUUGAGUGCAGCGUAUGUGUUCAAGUAGCAAUAUUUUAAAUAAGAACAAUUUCAAUUUAAUGAAUACUCUAAAUUAUGCAUAAAUUAUUCGCUGAAAACUGUUUUAGUAUUUCUUUAAAGAUUUCAUUCUGUAUGCACGAAUUCUAGGACCACUUGUAAAAAAGAGUUUUAGUUUUCUACACUUCUGUUAAGGAUGUAAGAGUGUAUAAGAGAUAUCCUAAAUUUAUUUUGUUACUCUCAGGCGAUCUUUUAGACGUCUUCUGAACAUUUGUGUUAUUUGGAUUAGUUAUUUCAUGUAGUUUCGACGAGUUAAGCGUAUUUCUUGAGGCUAACAGUCCGUUUCCUUUCUUCAUAAAAAAAAA